AGCAGUAUAGUGUAAUGCUGCACACAGAGUUUCCAUAUGACAGUUUCCUCUUUGGGAUCACCCUGAGGUCCUUGUUCGAACCAAGGUACUGCUA
This is a non-coding RNA of Mycena crocata, 94 nucleotides long. The record is from the annotation of a GenBank genome assembly. Lineage: Eukaryota; Fungi; Basidiomycota; Agaricomycetes; Agaricales; Mycenaceae.